RNAcentral lists this ribosomal RNA (595 nucleotides) under Puia sp. RNAcentral's name for it is "partial 23S ribosomal RNA". It matches the Rfam family "Bacterial large subunit ribosomal RNA", at positions 1 to 651 of the family's 2925-position model. The record is from RNAcentral. Lineage: Bacteria; Pseudomonadati; Bacteroidota; Chitinophagia; Chitinophagales; Chitinophagaceae.
GAUGAAGCGUAAUAAGGGCAUCUGGUGGAUGCCUUGGCACUGAGAGGCGAUGAAGGACGUGGCACGCUGCGAUAAGCUGGGACGAGAGGCGAGCACUCUUUGACUCCCGGAUCUCCGAAUGGGGAAACCCCACCCUUCUGGGUGAUCUUCAGCUGAAUACAUAGGCUGUUGAGGCGAACCCUGCGAACUGAAACAUCUCAGUAGCAGGAGGAAAGGACAUCAACCGAGACUCCGUUAGUAGUGGCGAGCGAACGCGGACCAGGCCAGUGGUUCUUCACGGAUUAGCAAAACGGUUUGGAAAAGCCGGCCAGAGUGGGUGAUAGCCCCGUAUGCGACAUGAAGUGAGGGACCCAUGAGUAGGGCGGGACACGUGAAAUCCUGUCUGAAUUUAGGGGGACCACCCUCUAAGCCUAAGUACUCCUCAGUGACCGAUAGUGCACCAGUACCGUGAGGGAAAGGUGAAAAGCACCCCGAUAAGGGGAGUGAAACAGUACCUGAAACCGGAUGCCUACAAGCAGUCGGAGCCUCUUUAUGGGGUGACGGCGUACCUCUUGUAUAAUGGGUCAGCGAGUUAGUCUCAGUAGCAAGCUUAAGC